This 377-nucleotide ribosomal RNA is filed under the name uncultured organism. RNAcentral describes it as "partial 16S ribosomal RNA". It matches the Rfam family "Bacterial small subunit ribosomal RNA", at positions 527 to 897 of the family's 1533-position model. The record is from RNAcentral.
GUAGGUGGCAAGCGUUGUCCGGGGAAUUAUUGGGGCGUAAAGCGCGCGCAGGCGGUUCUUUAAGUCUGAUGUGAAAGCCCACGGGCUCAACCGUGGAGGGUCAUUGGAAACUGGAGAACUUGAGUACAGAAGAGGAAAGCGGAAUUCCACGUGUAGCGGUGAAAUGCGUAGAGAUGUGGAGGAACACCAGUGGCGAAGGCGGCUUUCUGGUCUGUAACUGACGCUGAGGCGCGAAAGCGUGGGGAGCAAACAGGAUUAGAUACCCUGGUAGUCCACGCCGUAAACGAUGAGUGCUAAGUGUUAGGGGGUUUCCGCCCCUUAGUGCUGCAGCUAACGCAUUAAGCACUCCGCCUGGGGAGUACGGCCGCAAAGGCUGA